UAUUUACUGUGAUGUUAGUGUUCUUUAUUAGCAUGAUAGCAUCUUCACUUUGUUUUUUCAAAUAAAUUCAUUGUUCAGUAUUUACUGCUCUACUUUAUUCAUAAAUCCAUUGUUCAUUUUUGUUUAUUAAAAUAGCCAUGUCUAUCUGCUAUUCCUAGGAUUUCCUUAAAUAACUAUGCUAAUAAAUAUGUCCAUCUCGGAGAGAAUUAAUCUUGCUUCCUUGCAGACUCUGAACAUCAGGACCAUGUGGACUAAACUUGCAUGUGGGUGCACCAAGGAGAAGGUCCCACUCAUCAAGGGAUAACAACUAAUUGGUCAGACUUUGUGAAGACAGGGGUUGGAUAAUUUGGAGAAUGUCUUUGCGUUAAAGGCUAAAAGGGGCAAAGUGUCACUUGUUGUCUACCUGUUUUGACAAGGUUCAUUGUGAGCGUUCGCUUGGACUUAUCUCACACCAUUGAUCUGGCUCGCUUUGGUUAUGUAAUAAGCCAACUAUUGUAUCUACUUAGUGUUGAUCCAUCAGCUUGGCUUACUUUUGGAACAUACUACGUAUUCCCCCAUUUGUCAUGAACUUUUAGAUCUAAUGUUUCAUGCUUCUGGUAUAUUUGAUGGCCUUACCUUUUGUCAUUGUUUGGACAAAUUGCUCUACACUGGACACUUAUGUAUCAAGGCAAUGCCAUGCUUCUGAUGCAACCUUAUUGUAUUGGACUGAUCCAUUAUUUGAGCAAUCACUCUAAUUUUCCUUUGCAA
This is a long non-coding RNA of Triticum dicoccoides, 747 nucleotides long. RefSeq lists it as uncharacterized. NCBI's taxonomy places the organism in Eukaryota, Viridiplantae, Streptophyta, Magnoliopsida, Poales, Poaceae. The transcript is spliced from 2 exons. The record is from RefSeq and is a predicted model, not a curated record.